UUGGGUAUGACAAAUCAUGCAAUGAAGUUCAGUUUAUAAUAUUAUAUGAAAUGCCAUUCAGAUCCUUGAACUUGCAUAUUGAAUCAUUUGCAUAUGCAUAUCGUGUAGAAGUUAAUAUCACCGACGGAACCUACGAGCUCCCCCCAUGCAAGAAGAGGAACCAGCAGCUGAUCAGCAUCACGUGGAAGUCGAGCUCGAGCAAGAGCAAACCGAAGAUCUGCUAACAUUUUCUGAACAUGAAGGCAAGCCUCGGAGCAUGUUUCCUGUUUUCUAAACUUAUGCAAUUAUAUUGAUGCUUAUGCUUGUGCAUUUACGUUUCUAGGAGUUGAUUGAAACCAUAGAUGCAUGAACUUAGUAACCUCUUGAUCUGAACACUAGUAUGAUAAGUCGAGUAGAUGCAAUGCUUAAAUAGGACACGGUAAAAG
This 425-nucleotide long non-coding RNA is filed under the name Setaria viridis. RNAcentral describes it as "long non-coding RNA (SVIR_LNC002051)". The record is from RNAcentral. Lineage: Eukaryota; Viridiplantae; Streptophyta; Magnoliopsida; Poales; Poaceae.